GAUGAACGCUGGCGGCGUGCCUAAUACAUGCAAGUCGAGCGAACGGACGAGAAGCUUGCUUCUCUGAUGUUAGCGGCGGACGGGUGAGUAACACGUGGAUAACCUACUUAUAAGACUGGGAUAACUUCGGGAAACCGGAGCUAAUACCGGCUAAUAUUUUGAACCGCAUGGUUCAAAAGUGAAAGACGGUCUUGCUGUCACUUAUAGAUGGAUCCGCGCUGCAUUAGCUAGUUGGUAAGGUAACGGCUUACCAAGGCAACGAUGCAUAGCCGACCUGAGAGGGUGAUCGGCCACACUGGAACUGAGACACGAUCCAGACUCCUACGGGAGGCAGCAGUAGGGAAUCUGCCGCAAUGGGCGAAAGCCUGACGGAGCAACGCCGCGUGAGUGAUGAAGGUCUUCGGAUCGUAAAACUCUGUUAUUAGGGAAGAACAUAUGUGUAAGUAACUGUGCACAUCUUGACGGUACCUAAUCAGAAAGCCACGGCUAACUACGUG
Molecule: ribosomal RNA, 497 nt
Filed under: uncultured bacterium
Lineage: Bacteria
Description: partial 16S ribosomal RNA
Rfam family: Bacterial small subunit ribosomal RNA
Source: RNAcentral